RNAcentral lists this long non-coding RNA (6102 nucleotides) under Panax ginseng (ginseng). RNAcentral describes it as "long non-coding RNA (PGIN_LNC012477)". The record is from RNAcentral. Lineage: Eukaryota; Viridiplantae; Streptophyta; Magnoliopsida; Apiales; Araliaceae.
CCGGUACCUACCUCUGCCUCUUUUCCCCUCUUACUAUAGUAUUAAUUAAUUACCCUUCUUAGUAAUUUUGACUAACAUCGGUAGGACCACUCGGACCGAAUCCUCCCGAACGACGGUACCGGUUGAAUCGUUAUACAUGAUCGGUUAGCCGGUACCGGAUUGAUACGGUUUUUACCUACUUUUGUACCCGUUGUUGGUGUUGUACUAAUAGUUUCCACUCGAAUCCCAAAAGUCACCGACCCUUUUGUCAAGAAAAAUGAAAAUUGAGAAUUUAAAGAAAAGAAGAUGGAAGAUAGUUGACCAAUGAAUCAGAUAGAUCAAACCGACAAAUCAUAAUUCAUAGUAGUAAGAACUUCUUCUCGAUUAUUAUUACAUGUAAAAGCAAACUGAUAGCAAAAGAUUUAUGAUCAUUUAUUUGUAAGCAGACAAAUAAUCUGUGUGUUUUUCUGAGCAUGUGUUCAUGUACUGAACCCACUAAGGAUCUAUCCAAAACAGAGCAUAUCGAUCUCAUAUGCAUACUUUAUUUAAAAAAAAAGAUCAUUUCAUCAAUCAAAGAGAUCUAACAAAUCAAACAAUAAGGCAACAGAUAAAUCAAUAAUCACAAAAACCCAACAUAAAUGAUAAUCUUAAUUAACCAAUAGUACAAAAAGAUGAUUAAUAUUAAGUUGCAGAAACAGAGUAGAAAGAUUACAACUAAAUAUAGAGAACAAAAAAGGGAAAAUAAGAUAUUGGCUUCUGUUAACGCUAAGAUCUUUCCACGUACUCCAAUCACGUAAAGCACGUCCAAAUCAUGUACAGUAAACACGUCAAUACAAGAAGCUUGACGGCUUGGACCGUUGGGGGAUAGCUCCGGCGUAAGAGUCAGUACAGUCGAUCACAAGGUUUAACAAUGGAGGAAAAUAAAGUAUAGUGUCUUGAGAGAGAAAAUAUCAGUUACCUUCCAUUUAGUGUUAUCCUUCUUGGUUUUGUAUGCCACUGACCUCUCCUGGCCCACCACCUUCCGCCGACUAGGCCCUGUCCAAUCCUCAUUAAAUAAAAUGCAGAGAUGACAGUCAAAGUUUUAUCCCCAUAAUCAUUACCGGUCAAAGCCCUAGUGGAACCAUACUCAUCUAAUGAUUCGGCCCACUGUCUCGACCCAAUGCUCCAUAGGCCCAAAUAAAGAUAUUAUCCACCCAAUGGGUUGGCCCAAUGAACCGGCCCAAUACUUUCAAGACCCACCCAACAUGUCUUAAGCAUUAUGGCCCAACAUUGCCCCCCAGUCUUUUAUUAAACAGGAUGUUUAAUGAGAGUAUAAAUGCCACUGGUCUAGGAUAAAAGGAAUCAUGAUAAGAUUAAUCAGAGGCCCGAAAUGAAACUCACCGAGGCCCAACUGGUAAAUCUCAAAUAACAAUUUAAAUAAAAACCGGAAGCCCAAUCGAGAAGUCCAAUCUAGUUAAUAUCUUAAGACCAAAAUCGGACGCCACCCCUUCAAAUUCACCAUCAUUGCCUCCAUUUAAUGUGCCGCCCUCGAACUUCGUGAAAAAUUGAAGAGACCGCCAGUAUAAAAGCUGCCUUUCCCCAAAUUUGACAAUUUUACCUGUCAAUUUGAAUUUCAGAUGUUCCCCGCUUUCUUCCUCCUCCAGAUUUCUCUUUCUUCCUGUAAAUCAACAUUCAUGGCUUCUCAAACUUUUGGCGAAGAGGUUCCCCUCUCCGUGACUCCCAUCGCCUCUAUUCCUCCAAGCUCUACCAAAAAAGCUUCGGGUCCAAACCCCAAAUCUGCUAAUACUCCUAGCAAGAAUCCAUCACCAAAUCCUUCAGAGUUCUUUAAGAGUGAAGAAUACUUUCCUCAUGCUAAUACCCCUUCCACUAUCACUGAGAUUGAGUUGCGCAACCUUCGGACCCGCUACCAUAUUUCGGAUACCCAUCUGGUAAAGGCUCCAGCUCCCCAGGAACGAAUGUACCAGCGACCCGAAGGCUGGACCGCCAUGCCGGUGACCCUUCUCGAAAAGGGAGUUCAUCUACCCCUCCAUGCCUUCGUUGUUACUCUUCUAGGGUUCGUAUGCGUGGGACUUGCCCAGCUUGUCCCGAACUCCUACAUACACAUCCUGGCAUUUAUCGCUUUUUGCCACGAACAAGGGAUUCCACCUGCUGUCGAUUUCUUCUUCACCCUCUUCAUAGCUGGUAAAUCCCGGGAACGAGGUUUCAAGAUGUUGAGCAAACAAUCCCCCAAACCUAAUGACAUGUUCGAUAAACGACCUUUGAUGGACACUCCUUCGAGCAACCAGGGAUGGCAUAAAGAGUGGUUCUUUGUCAAAGGACCCGAAGUCUCCUCCAUACCCGACUGAACCAUUUCUGAUCGCAUCUCUGCAAACUUCAGAGAUAUUUCAAAGGAACUUGUAAGAGAAAUGACGAGUCUUUUAGAGAAGAUUCCCAUCAAGGAAUGGAGCUUCGGACUUCUAAGCAAACAAGCAUGGUUGUACGACCAUAAAUGUAAGUCCCGAACCCAAUUUAUUGUAUAACUUUACCAAUUUCCCUCAGUAAUUAUUCUAAAUGAUUGUUUUUCAUCUUUCACAGUGUCUGUGAUCAAACCGACGUCGAUUGACCGAAGGGAUCUAGACAGAUUCCUUUCGGAUUCAUCUUCGCCGACCCCUACUGAAGUACCAACUGAAGAGACUUCAACUUCAGAAGCUUAAGUUACCGAGCCAGCCAUUGAAGGGACAAGCCAACCUCGCCGAAGAAAGCAAGCUGGCCGAAAACCCAAACAUACCGCCAUACAAACUUACAAUGAAUGCCUCCUCGAUAUGCCCCUUGACGAACGGACCCGAGUCCUUCGUGCUAAAAAGAGGAAAAUCCUCAUAACUCCUCCAGCCGCCGAAGAACCACAAGUGCAUCCCAUAGAAACCGAUCUUCCGCCAAUCACCCUGGUUGAAAUCGUUGUUUCUGACGAAGAGCCCGAAGAACAAGUAGAGCGCACACCAAACUUGCUCGAAAAAGAAAACCAGCCUCUUCGGAAUCUAGGCCCGAAGCCAUGGGAUCCCCCACUCUCUAGCCAGAAUUCAAUGAGAAUUUCCCCUUUCAACUCUACAAUUCCUUCGUCCGUGAUACCGAUGACCACCGGUUCGGCAACAGCUCCAUAAUGGACCUGAUCGACGAGGGAAUGAAGUACCAAGCUAAGGUAAGCUGCUACUUAACUUAUCCAAUUACAUCUCGGCCCAUCAAUUUGGAUUGAUUGAUUAACAUUGAUCAUCUGUAGGCAAACGCUAUCUUCGGACGCCUCCGUCCCAAAUAAAGAAGCCGAAGCUGAAGAGGAAGCCGCUCGAAGAGAGAACGCCACAUUUAAGUCUGCCUUGGCGAAAGAGAUAAGCAAUCUUGAAAUUGCUCUCCUCAACAAUGAGAGCCUCCGGAAAGAUAUUGCUCAAACCAAAGAAGAUUUGAAGACGUCCAGGGCCACUCAUCAAGUUAUCACCGAUAUAAAUGUCGAUUUUCUUUAGAAAAAUGAAAUUUUGACGAAGAAAAUUGAAGAUCUGGCCCAAUCGAACUCAAGCCUGGCGAAGCAAAAUAACGAUAUCCAAGCUAAAGAAGCAAGACAUCUGACAUAUCGUAAAAAACUUGGAGAGGAACUUCGAGAACUCCGGGCUCUCAAGGAUUUGGGCCCACCACUGACUGACCAGCUUCUCAAGGAGAUUGAAGCAAAGUACAGGAAGUCUGCCGAGCUGAACGAUGAAAUUGUCCACAUGUAUUUUGAAGGGUACGAGGUCUGCCGAAGUAAAUACAAAGCCAAACUUGUAGUUGCCAAAGUAAAUCCUGCUCUCCUCGACUCUUCAGACAACGAAGACAAUAAGGAAGCUUAAAAAUACCGUUCCAUCCGUAGCUUUAGGACUCCCUGUAAAGACUCAUAUCUCCUUUGUAAACAGUUAGAUAUCAAUGAAAUGAUUAACAAGUUCUUAUCCUUAUUACAUCUUUGAUCAUUUCUUGUCAAUAAUUCACCAUCAAUCAACUUGAAAAAUGCACAAGCUUAAACUGUUAGUCAUUUAAUCAAGCAAAUUACGUAACAGAUAAGAUCAAGUAAUAACACAAUCCGAACUCAACACUUAAACAAAAUCAGGUAAUAAAGUAAUGCAAUACUUAUUUGUUACCGAAGUGUGAGAUAAAUCUGCAUCGAUAUGAAAUUUGUCUACCACGUUGGGCCUAAUAAAUUCCCAGGAUACACCUACCAAAUAGGCUAUCAUCGAAUGGUCAACGAGUCCACCCGAACCUCCUCACACCAUAUGGAAUUUGUUUACCACGCGGGGCCUAACAAAUUCACAGGGCACACCUACCAAAUAUGCUACCAUCGAAUGGUCAGCGAGUCCACCCGAACCUUCUCACACCAAAUGUAAUUUGUUUACCACGCAGGGCCUAACAAAUUCACGGGGCACACCUACCAAAUAGGCUACCAUCGAAUGGUCAGCGAGUCCACCCGAACCUCCUCACACCAAAUGGAAUUUAUUUACCAUGCAGGGCCUAACAAAUUCACAGGGCACACCUACCAAAUAGGCUACCAUCGCAUGGUCAGCAAGUCCACCCGAACCUCCUCACACCAAAUGGUCGCCACAGAUGCCCUCGUGAACCUCCCGAAGAGCAUAUUCAGCUUCAGAUGGAGUUAAACAUUUCAGCAAUGGAGAUGAAAAAGCCCUUCGAUAAAGAUCCCCAUCAAUAAGAACAAAGUUAGCACUCUUGUACAUAACUUUCUUAGCCAGCAUCUGAUCCGAAGGAAGAACGCCAUCGAUCCAGCAAAGGUGUUCACUUCGGUAAUAGCCAGUUUUGACAAGGCAUUGGUAAUGGAGUCAUCAUUGUGAUCGACCUCCUCGUUGUUUGUUUCUCUGAAUCUGAACCUGAUAGCCUGUUGUACUGUAUGAAUUAGAAUAUCCGCCUGUUGUACUGUAUGAAUUAGUAUUCCAUCUUAAAUCUCUAAAAACUACAGAUAGAUUGAGACUAAUUUCUGAGAAUAAGUGAAGUGCUAAAAUGCACAAAAGAAGCAUACCAUAUGACCAGUAAUAUGUAGGUAACCAGAGGCUCUAAACUAGCCAGUCUAGCCAUAAUACCCUUAAUAUUUCUCCUCCAAUCAAAUGAGGAUAUAAAAGCAGUCUCAAACUUCCAAAUGAUUUCCCAUAAAAAGUUUGCAAGACUUUGCUCUAUUCAAUAAACUCACCAUACUUUGACGUGGUAGCUGCCAUAAACAAUUGGAUCACUGGCUACACCUCUUAAGCUACUCCCUAUAGAGAUAUGGGGGGAAAAGGUUAACAGUCAAGAGAAGAUCCAAUAUCUCGGAUCAGGUCUUUUGCUAGCAGUAUAAAUUAAUCUUCUUUUGUCAUCAGCAUAAACUUUUGUAUGAGAACCAAAGACGAACUUGUAGCCAUCGGUUGUCCUUCAGGGGUAACCGUUCUACUCUUCAUCAUAAGUUCCGACGUAGAACAAUUAAAAGUUGUGAUUGAAAACUCAAGAACACUAGAAACAACCCUCCUUCUAGCGCUAAUGUUAACGCCAAGAUCUUUUCACGUACCGUCGGGGGAUAGCUCCGGCGUAAGAGUCAGUACAGGCGAUCACAAGGUUUAAUAAUGGAGAAAAAUAAAGUAUAGUGUCUUGAGAGAGAAAUAUCAGUUACCUUCCAUUUUGUGUUAUCCUUCUUGGUUUUGUAUGCCACUGACCUCUCCUGGCCCACCACCUUUCGCCGACUAGGCCCUUUCCAAUUCUCAUUAAAUAAAAUGCAGAGAUGACAGUCAAAGUUUUAUCCCCAUAAUCAUCACCGGUCAAAGCCCCAGUGGAACCAUACUCAUCCAACGAUUCGGCCCACUGUCUCGACCCAAUGCUCCAUAGGCCCAAAUAAAGAUAUUAUCCACCCAAUGAGUUGGCCCAAUGAACCGGCCCAAUACUUUCAAGACCCACCCCAACAUGUCUAAAGCAUUAUGGCCCAACAACUUCAAUCUUGGAGAUGAACCGGUUGUACAACUAAUGUCUUUUUUAUCUAGAUAAACUAGUUGAUCGAUAUUACUCCAACAGAACAAUAAGUGAUUGCUAUCUAUUGGGCUAGCUUUCAUUGGUAUGUUAAUUUUCUACUGAAUAUGGAUCCAACAAACAUUUACA